RNAcentral lists this ribosomal RNA (1576 nucleotides) under Probosciger aterrimus (palm cockatoo). RNAcentral's name for it is "16S ribosomal RNA". It matches the Rfam family "Bacterial large subunit ribosomal RNA", at positions 401 to 2836 of the family's 2925-position model. RNAcentral also lists the same sequence under 1 other name. The record is from RNAcentral. Lineage: Eukaryota; Metazoa; Chordata; Aves; Psittaciformes; Cacatuidae.
AGCCUACCCUAGCCUCAUCCACUGCAAUUAAGAACCCACUACCUCACCCAACUAAAACAUUCCCCCACCACCUAGUAUAGGCGAUAGAAAAGUACUCUCGAGCGCCAUAGAAAAAGUACCGUAAGGGAAAGAAUGAAAUAAUAAUGAAAACCAAGCACUACACAGCAAAGAUAGACCCUUGUACCUUUUGCAUCAUGAUCUAGCAAGAACAAGCAGACAAAGUGAACUUAAGCCUGUCCCCCCGAAACCCAAGCGAGCUACUUACGAGCAGCUACCAUGAGCAAACCCGUCUCUGUCGCAAAAGAGUGGGACGACUCGUUAGUAGAAGUGAAAAGCCAAUCGAGCUGGGUGAUAGCUGGUUGCCCGCAAAGAGAAUCUAAGUUCUCCCUUAACCUCUCUCCCAGGAUAACAAACCCAAACCCCCGUGCAGCAGAUUAAGAGCUACCUAAAGGGGGUACAGCCCCUUUAAAGAAGGAUACACCCUCCACUAGCGGAUAACCUCUCUCCACUUUUUCUCAACCUCGUGGGCCCUAAAGCAGCCACCCCAAAAGAGUGCGUCAAAGCUCCCAACUAAAAAUCCAAAAAUAUUGUGACUCCCUACAUCCCUAGCUGGCUAACCUAUAACAAUAGAUGAAUCAAUGCUAGAACGAGUAACCAGGACACCCUCCCCUCAAGCGCUAGCCUACAUACCAUUAACAGUCCAACCAUCAAUGCUUAACCUCCCCAAGAUUAAACAUUGAACAUACCCUGUUAACCCAACCCAGGAGCGCACAUUAGGAUGAUUAAAAUCUACAAAAGGAACUCGGCAAACUCAAGGCCCGACUGUUUACCAAAAACAUAGCCUUCAGCCAAACAAGUAUUGAAGGUGAUGCCUGCCCAGUGACACCAUGUUUAACGGCCGCGGUAUCCUAACCGUGCAAAGGUAGCGCAAUCAAUUGUCCCAUAAAUCGAGACUUGUAUGAACGGCUAAACGAGGCCUUAACUGUCUCCUGUAGACAAUCAGUGAAACUGAUCUUCCUGUGCAAAAGCAGGAAUAAGCACACAAGACGAGAAGACCCUGUGGAACUUUAAAAUCAAUAGCCACUACACAUCAACCCAAAGCCCACCAGGCUCCACCAUCUACAACACUGGCUAACAUUUUUAGAUUGGGGCGAUCUUGGAGAAAAACAAACCCUCCAAAAAUAAGGCCAAACCCCUUAGCAAAGAACAACCCUUCCAUGCGCUAACAGCACCCAGACCCAAUAAAAUUGACCAAUGAACCAAGCUACCCCAGGGAUAACAGCGCAAUCUCCCCCAAGAGCCCCUAUCGACGAGGAGGUUUACGACCUCGAUGUUGGAUCAGGACAUCCUAGUGGUGUAGCCGCUACUAAGGGUUCGUUUGUUCAACGAUUAACAGUCCUACGUGAUCUGAGUUCAGACCGGAGCAAUCCAGGUCGGUUUCUAUCUAUGAUUAACCUUUCCCAGUACGAAAGGACCAGAAAGGUAGGGCCAAUACCUCUAGCACGCCCUCACUUUAAAUGAUGACUCCAACUAAAUCACCAAAAGCUUACACUCACACUCCCUCUAGAAAAGAGCC